AGCAAAGCCAGACCCAUGUGGGCCAGCAGUGUGGAACCCACGGCACCUGCCCUGGGGACUCUGCCCCAGCCUGGGGCUGGCCUCUGGGCUUUCCCGUAGCCCCAAAUCUGAUUGUCCCUAGGCCCCUGAAAAGGCCAGCAUCCACCGGCUGAUGGAGGCUUUCAUCCUCAGGCUGCAGACCCAGUUCCCCUCCACUGUCAGCACUGUGUACAGGACAAGUGAGAAGCUGGUGAAAGGCCCCCGGGACGGCCCUGCUGCCGGCGACUCCGGCCCCCGCUGCCUCCUCUGCAUGUGUGCCCUGGACGUCGACGCCGCUGGUCUGUGUUUCAUGCUCUUGGGGUGAUGGGGGGAGGGAGCCAGGGAGUGGGUGUGGGGGCUCAGCAGCCCCAGGCUCCCUCAGCCCCUCUCUGCUUGCAGACAGUGCCACGGCUUUUGGGGCUCAGACCUCCUCGCAUCUCUCCCAGAUGCAGUCACCCAUCCCCCUGACUGAGACCCGGACACCCCCGGGGCCCUGCUGUUCUCCAGGGGUGGGCUGGGCCCAGCGCUGCGGCCAGGGGGCCUGCAGGAGGGAGGACCCCCAAACCUGCAUUGAGGAGCAGCUGUGCUACAGCUGCCGCGUGAACAUGAAGGACUUGCCCUCACUGGACCCCCUGCCGCCGUACAUCCUGGCUGAGGCCCAGCUCCGCACACACAGGGCCUGGGGCUUGCAGGAGAUCCGGGACUGUCUGAUUGAGGACAGUGACGACGAGGCAGGCCAGAGCUGAGCGUGAGGACGUGCUGGCCGGGACAGCAGGCAGUGGCCACCUGGUCCACCACACUGGAGCCGGAAGGCAA
RNAcentral lists this long non-coding RNA (834 nucleotides) under Pan troglodytes (chimpanzee). RNAcentral describes it as "long non-coding RNA NONPTRT006136". The record is from RNAcentral. Lineage: Eukaryota; Metazoa; Chordata; Mammalia; Primates; Hominidae.